RNAcentral lists this ribosomal RNA (512 nucleotides) under uncultured bacterium. RNAcentral describes it as "bacterial SSU rRNA". It matches the Rfam family "Bacterial small subunit ribosomal RNA", at positions 8 to 514 of the family's 1533-position model. The record is from RNAcentral.
AGAGUUUGAUCCUGGCUCAGAUUGAACGCUGGCGGCAGGCUUAACACAUGCAAGUCGAGCGGAGUGAUUGUGCUUGCACAAUCACUUAGCGGCGGACGGGUGAGUAAUGCUUAGGAAUCUGCCAUUUAGUGGGGGACAACAUUCCGAAAGGAAUGCUAAUACCGCAUACGUCCUACGGGAGAAAGCAGGGGAUCUUCGGACCUUGCGCUAAAUGAUGAGCCUAAGUCGGAUUAGCUAGUUGGUGGGGUAAAGGCCUACCAAGGCGACGAUCUGUAGCGGGUCUGAGAGGAUGAUCCGCCACACUGGGACUGAGACACGGCCCAGACUCCUACGGGAGGCAGCAGUGGGGAAUAUUGGACAAUGGGCGGAAGCCUGAUCCAGCCAUGCCGCGUGUGUGAAGAAGGCCUUUUGGUUGUAAAGCACUUUAAGCGAGGAGGAGGCUACCUAGAUUAAUACUCUAGGAUAGUGGACGUUACUCGCAGAAUAAGCACCGGCUAACUCUGUGCCAGCAG